AGCUAAUAGAUACCCUGGUAGUCCCAGCAGUAAACGGUGCGCGUUUGGUGUGGAGAAUUCAAACUCUCUCUGUGCCGGAGCUAACGCGUUAAACGCGCCGCCUGGGGAGUACGGUCGCAAGACUAAAACUCAAAGAAAUUGACGGGGGCCCGCACAAGCGGUGGAGUAUGUGGCUUAAUUCGAUGCAACGCGAAAACCUUACCUGGAUUUGACAUGUAUCGCUAAGGUGGUGAAAGCCAUCGAGGGUAGCAAUACCCACUUUACACAGGUGCUGCAUGGCUGUCGUCAGCUCGUGUCGUGAGAUGUUGGGUUAAGUCCCGCAACGAGCGCAACCCUUGUAUGCUGUCUCG
Molecule: ribosomal RNA, 350 nt
Filed under: uncultured bacterium
Lineage: Bacteria
Description: bacterial SSU rRNA
Rfam family: Bacterial small subunit ribosomal RNA
Source: RNAcentral